UUACAUAAUCAGUCAUUAAGCAAAGAAGAAGAAAAUACCUAGAAAACAGAUAACAGAACAAUGGAGGAUAUCACAGGACCCAGAAACAUCCUGCAACUUAACAAAGAAACAAAAAUACUGAAAGCACUGCACCUGCCACGGCUGAGUCAACACUGGAUCCUUAACCCACUAUGGAUCAAAUCGACACCACCCUAGAGAGAAGAUGAGUCAUUAACCCACUAAUGGUCCUGGGCCCACAGCAGAAACUUCCAUUAAAUGAAUUUUAAAGCUAUCUACUCAUAAAGACUUCCACUCAGCAGCAAACCCACCAAGGCCUCUUGCCACCCAUGAAUCUUUCUGAUGAAACUGACGCCGAUGACGGUGAAGGAGUCAGCUGGGGGUCUCUCCCCACUGGCUACUUUGGGCUUCUUCAUAGCAUUCUGGUUUGGUCCCAAAUGUGACAGUCCCAAAUGAAAAGAGAACAUAAGGUAAGAAACUGUAUCCUUUUUGUGACCUAGACUUGGAAAUCACAUACCAUCUUUUUGACGAUACUUUAUAUACCUAGGCCAGAGUCCAUAUGAGAAGUG
This is a non-coding RNA of Sus scrofa (pig), 566 nucleotides long. The record is from RefSeq and is a predicted model, not a curated record. Lineage: Eukaryota; Metazoa; Chordata; Mammalia; Artiodactyla; Suidae.